RNAcentral lists this ribosomal RNA (126 nucleotides) under Bacillus thuringiensis. The record is from RNAcentral. Lineage: Bacteria; Bacillati; Bacillota; Bacilli; Caryophanales; Bacillaceae.
UCUGGUAAUGAUGGCAGAGAGGUCACACCAGGUCACACCCGUUCCCAUACCGAACACGGAAGUUAAGCUCUCUAGCGCCGAUGGUAGUUGGGACCUUGUCCCUGUGAGAGUAGGACGUUGCCAGGC